This 567-nucleotide ribosomal RNA is filed under the name Triticum aestivum (bread wheat). RNAcentral describes it as "partial small subunit ribosomal RNA". The record is from RNAcentral. Lineage: Eukaryota; Viridiplantae; Streptophyta; Magnoliopsida; Poales; Poaceae.
AUGGAGAGGGCGAAGCGGAUCAAGUGUCCGGCUCCGCUGCCUGAAGAACCAGUCAUCCCGCGUUUAGCGAAGAUGCUGGUGUCGGCGCCCUAUAAGGCGCCGGAGAAGAAGGCCAAGGGCAGGGCCAAGGUGGUCCGGAGUGGGCCCCGCCACAAGGGCGCUUUGGACGCGACUUCUGAAGACAAGACCCGCUCCUCUGUCGCUGAAGACGACGAUGAUGAGGAGGAGCAGGAGAGCGAUUCUCCCCCUGAUGGGGGGAGGAAGAAGAGGGCGGCCUCCGCCAUUCUGGAGGCGGAGGCGCCCAAGAAGGGGAAAGGCCAACUCGUGGGCAGCUCCGCAUGGGACGUCGACAACAGUCCGGAGCGACGCCCCCGCACUAAGCCUCGGGCUGCAUCUCCGGCCCACGACAGCUCCCAGCGAUCCUCGUCACGAGAUUCGUUGGAUUCAAGGGCAAUGGCUAGCGAGUCACCACCGACCGCUUACUCCCCCAAGGCUAAGGGCGACACAGAGCUGCUGUCCCGAAGGACUUUCCCAUCCCGGGGAGGCUCAGGAGGCGCCAGAAGGUGA